GUAGAGAAAGUAUUGGCACUUGUGACGAUAAAGAAUUCCAAAGAAGAGUACUUGAAUACUAUCAACAUGCUUCUAAGGAAUAUAAUGAUUUAAACGGUAAGGUUGAAGCACUAUUCAAGGAUGUAUAUAAAAGUGCAAGUGAUAUUAUUGAGCGCAAUAAAAAAAGAAUGAAUGAAGAAUUAAGUAAUAGUACUACUGAUAANUAUUGGCACUUGUGACGAUAAAGAAUUUCAAAGAAGAGUACUUGAAUACUAUCAACAUGCUUCUAAGGAAUAUAAUGAUUUAAACGAUAAGGUUGAAGCGCUAUUCAAAGAUGUGUACGAAAGUGCAAGUAAUAUUAUUGACUGCAAUAAAAAAAGAAUGAAUGAAGAGUUAAGUAGUAGUACUACUGCCAAUGCAAAACAAGUUUCUGAACAGGUGUCACAAGCUAAAAGGGAAUUAAAGGCACACACAGCUGAUAUUGCCGCUAAAGUUGCAGCAGAAGUGAUAAAAGGACAUCAAAAUGGUAAACGUAAGAGUGAGGUUAUAUCUUCACUUUCACGUGAUUUAAGUAAAAAAUUGCAUUAGCUUUCGUGCAACAACAAUCUAUAUUAUAAAUUGGUAGUGUAGAUUGUGAUUUUAGUUUAUGUAGGGAAGUAGAGAAUCUUUUCUACUAUAAUUUUAUGUUAUUCCUUAGCAAAAAAUUAAAUAAAAUUACUUUUUUAUAUUGGAAGAUAUCAUUGCAGAUGUUACAGGUUCGAUUGAGCUUCAUUAUUGAACUAAUUAUACCUUUGGUAAAAGCUGGUGAUAAUCAAGUUAUGGAUCUUCUUAAAUCACACUUUGGCAUCUCAGAAUUUGCAAGCAACUAGUUAUAGUA
This is a non-coding RNA of Cinara cedri, 856 nucleotides long. The record is from the annotation of a GenBank genome assembly. NCBI's taxonomy places the organism in Eukaryota, Metazoa, Arthropoda, Insecta, Hemiptera, Aphididae.